This 249-nucleotide ribosomal RNA is filed under the name uncultured bacterium. RNAcentral's name for it is "partial 16S ribosomal RNA". It matches the Rfam family "Bacterial small subunit ribosomal RNA", at positions 84 to 334 of the family's 1533-position model. The record is from RNAcentral.
CGUGAUGGCGACCGGCGCACGGGUGAGUAGCACGUAUCCAACCUGCCUCAUACUCGGGGAUAGCCUUUCGAAAGAAAGAUUAAUAUCCGAUAGCAUAUAUUUCCCGCAUGGGUUUUAUAUUAAAGAAAUUCGGUAUGAGAUGGGGAUGCGUUCCAUUAGUUUGUUGGGGGGGUAACGGCCCACCAAGACUACGAUGGAUAGGGGUUCUGAGAGGAAGGUCCCCCACAUUGGAACUGAGACACGGUCCAA